This is a long non-coding RNA of Myxocyprinus asiaticus (Chinese sucker), 472 nucleotides long. RefSeq lists it as uncharacterized. The transcript is spliced from 4 exons. The record is from RefSeq and is a predicted model, not a curated record. NCBI's taxonomy places the organism in Eukaryota, Metazoa, Chordata, Actinopteri, Cypriniformes, Catostomidae.
CAGAAGCCGGAAGAAUUGUCGGAGGGGGUGAGACUUAGAGAGAGAAGGGAUUGGAUGAAGGAAGAAAAAUGUUUCAGCCUCAGACCUGUAAUCUACUUAUUGGUUGGGAUUUGUUCGAGAACAAAUGGAACACUGAAUGUCAAUAAGGUUGUCAUCGCAACUGACAGUGACAGGAUUGUGCAUCAUCCUUUCGUGGAUAAAUAUGCUUGCCAAGUGCCAAUAUUGCUUCUUCUCUGGGGAGGAAGCCACGCACGGACGCAUAUAUCAGUUACAGAGCAAGAAAGCGCUACUGGAGGCUGUAGAAGCUGUCACUACAGGAAAGGAUUGGAUUGCUCACAUUUUGCACAAAAUGCAAGACUGCAGGAAGUGACAGUGCACAACACAUAUGCAGCAACAUUAGCCAGUUUCUGUCUUUUCUUUGCCAAAUUCCUUUCAAGUAUAUCUUGAAAUAUUAGAAAUAUCAGUCUGAUUA